RNAcentral lists this ribosomal RNA (397 nucleotides) under uncultured bacterium. RNAcentral's name for it is "partial 16S ribosomal RNA". It matches the Rfam family "Bacterial small subunit ribosomal RNA", at positions 523 to 918 of the family's 1533-position model. The record is from RNAcentral.
AUACGUAGGGGGCAAGCGUUAUCCGGAUUUACUGGGUGUAAAGGGAGCGUAGACGGUGUGACAAGUCUGAUGUGAAAACCCGGGGCUCAACUCCGGGAUUGCAUUGGAAACUGCCAUACUUGAGUGCAGGAGAGGUAAGCGGAAUUCCUAGUGUAGCGGUGAAAUGCGUAGAUAUUAGGAGGAACACCGGCGGCGAAGGCGGCUUACUGGACUGUAACUGACGUUGAGGCUCGAAAGCGUGGGGAGCAAACAGGAUUAGAUACCCUGGUAGUCCACGCGGUAAACGAUGAAUACUAGGUGUUGGGGGUCUAUAGACCCUCGGUGCCGCAGCAAACGCAAUAAGUAUUCCACCUGGGGAGUACGUUCGCAAGAAUGAAACUCAAAGGAAUUGGCGGGG